Non-coding RNA from Ameiurus melas (black bullhead), 80 nucleotides. The record is from the annotation of a GenBank genome assembly. Lineage: Eukaryota; Metazoa; Chordata; Actinopteri; Siluriformes; Ictaluridae.
UACACAGUGGCUUAGUGGUUAGCACAUUUGACUUACACCUCCAGAAUUGGGGGUUCAAAUCUCACCUCCACCCUGUGUAC